Molecule: long non-coding RNA, 816 nt
Organism: Zea mays
Lineage: Eukaryota; Viridiplantae; Streptophyta; Magnoliopsida; Poales; Poaceae
Exons: 2
Source: RefSeq, a predicted model, not a curated record
UCAUGGCCGCCCCUCCCUCAUCUUCCUCCCCAAGCUGAGCUCGCCCAGCCCCUCUCUGUUUGUGGCGUGCUCCAGCUUCCCAUGGCGUCAAAGCCCCUAGCCAGGUUCCUAGCCCCCUCAUGGCCGCCCCUCUCUGCUCCCUGAUUUCUCCCCACGCCAGCAGCAGCUUCCCCCUUCUUCUUUUGUUCUCCAUGAAUGAAAGCCCAAGCGCCAGCCCCCUCCCUUUUGUCAAGUGGUGAGCUCCAAAUCUCUUUAUUGUUUCCCUAGUCCUUGCGUGUUGUAUUUUGAUUUCAGUUUGUUGUCCAUGUCAUGACGCUUGUGAAACUCUAUGUGUUUGUGUGUGAGAUUGGAAGAGAGUUCUAGGGAAAUCGAUGGAGAAGAAACAGUGUUUCAGUUCGACGCGCUCUAGGUGUUUGAUGGAAUGGAUGAACCGGAGAUCCUUGUUGCUCUUGUGAAAUCCGAGUCUAUUUAGUGUUGGUACGUUAAUUGAUCACGUGAUGUGGAAGACAAAGUUUGGAUUGAUCUCAAGAUAAUGCUGAUGGACGAAGCUAAAAUGGGUGAAUCAAACAAGUGCCAGAAUGGGAGAUGCUCGCCAAGCAAACAUCAUCUAACAACACUGACUUAGUGUUAUCCCAGGCAAGCCCCGGUGCAUUUGCCACCUCCUUGUUGUUAUAAAACUUUUAUCACUUAUAUGUUGCAUUAGGUGAUAGGAGUUGAGUGAUGAAACAAUUGAUGCAUUGCCAUUCCUUGGAAUUUGAUUAUCUUCCUUGAUUCCUGUUUUAUAAAGAGAACUAAAGAUGCUUAGCCCUGCUUAGA